RNAcentral lists this ribosomal RNA (119 nucleotides) under Setaria viridis. RNAcentral also lists the same sequence under 4 other names. The record is from RNAcentral. Lineage: Eukaryota; Viridiplantae; Streptophyta; Magnoliopsida; Poales; Poaceae.
GGAUGCGAUCAUACCAGCACUAAAGCACCGGAUCCCAUCAGAACUCCGAAGUUAAGUGUGCUUGGGCGAGAGUAGUACUAGGAUGGGUGACCUCCUGGGAAGUCCUCGUGUUGCAUUCC